Molecule: non-coding RNA, 236 nt
Organism: Dermacentor albipictus
Lineage: Eukaryota; Metazoa; Arthropoda; Arachnida; Ixodida; Ixodidae
Source: RefSeq, a predicted model, not a curated record
CCUGAACGUUGGUGUCUGUGUAUGCGUGUCAUCUUUGUGGCAUCACACGUCAACUACACUGAGCGCAUACACCUGCAGCACCUUUGGGACUAAUGACACAAAGGUCAAGGCCAGCCUGGCGACCAUGCUUGCCAAGGAGUAGUGUAAAUAUUUAAUCUGUUUCCAUAAUAGCAUAAGACAAGAAUUUAAGGAAUUCAUGUAUUAUAUCGAGCAAUAAAAACGGUUAAUGCAUUGCC